Molecule: long non-coding RNA, 1105 nt
Organism: Polyodon spathula (Mississippi paddlefish)
Lineage: Eukaryota; Metazoa; Chordata; Actinopteri; Acipenseriformes; Polyodontidae
Exons: 3
Source: RefSeq, a predicted model, not a curated record
CUGAACCAGCUAGUGAUGUAAAGGCGGUUCUACAGCACCCACGAGCGAUGCAAGCAGCCAGUCUUGGUGGCGUGAGGGUCUCCACAUGAAUAUAACUGUUCUAUUUUUUCUGCAUGUUAUUGGCGGCUAGAAUGAAACUGACCAAUCAGAAGCAAUGUCACAAUCUUGACACAAGUCAAACACAAAUGCCUGUGGAACAUGGACGAUGAGAAACUGAUUCUUGAAGUGCAGCGGUGCCUUCUGCUCUACAAUUGCUUAUUAAGUGCAUAUAAAGACAACACUAAAAGGGCAAUGAAGAACAUCACAGGCAUUAUUGAUGUGUCUGAACAGGAGAAAGGGCUGCGAGGCGUAAGCCCUGGAACUUGAAAUAGGAAUUAUGUGCUUGUGACUUUAGGAAGAUGCUUUCCCCUUGGCUUGUGGAGAGCUGUCCUCAAGUAGGUGAGAGAAAUCUGCUCGUCCCCCAAAGCUGGGAAGCAAACGUUACUUCCCCCAAGGCGAAAAUAAAGAGAAGGAUAGAGGAUACGUUUGAGAAGACUAGAAGUCGCCCCAGCUAAAGGAACGCCUACACUUUGGGAUAUUGGCGCAGCCAGACCUCCGAGACAGAGCCAAGCGGGGAGACAGGAAUUCUGAAAGAGAGAAGGAAAUGAACAUGCAAAGGGGGCAAAGAGGAACACUGGCAUAGGUGAAAGCAAGUUGCUAGUAAACAAUACAAGGUUUCCCCUGGCUCGGGGAGAGCCGCCCUCUAGUAGGUGAGACCUAACCAAUCGGCCUCCAAGGCAGGAGAGCAUGUAUGCUGCCCCCAGGGGAUACUGGAAUGAUAGAGAGACUGUUAAGAUAGAUUUGGCAGGGGGUCCCCUCUGGUUCUCAAAGAACAUUCCUCUUGGAGGUCGAGGCCAACUCCGUUGGGCUGAAGGUUGGAAAGUAAAUGUCACCUGCCAUCAGAAGAGGACCCCCGGCAUCUACGCCACCAAUGCAAGCAGAAAGGUUAAUAAGAAAAUAAAGUGCUAAUUAGCCCUAUUAGAACGACCAUGUACAGGACCGACCCAGAUACAACGAUCUCAGUACUGAUUGACACUGAACUUUCUUCAGUGUCAAGUGUGUUAUU